GCGAACGCUGGCGGCGUGCCUAAUACAUGCAAGUCGAACGCACUCUCGUUUAGAUUGAAGGAGUUUGCUCCUGAUUGAUAAACAUUUGAGUGAGUGGCGGACGGGUGAGUAACACGUGGGUAACCUGCCCUAAAGUGGGGGAUAACAUUUGGAAACAGAUGCUAAUACCGCAUAAAACCUAACACCGCAUGGUGUAGGGUUGAAAGAUGGUUUCGGCUAUCACUUUAGGAUGGACCCGCGGUGCAUUAGUUAGUUGGUGAGGUAAAGGCUCACCAAGACCGUGAUGCAUAGCCGACCUGAGAGGGUAAUCGGCCACACUGGGACUGAGACACGGCCCAGACUCCUACGGGAGGCAGCAGUAGGGAAUCUUCCACAAUGGACGAAAGUCUGAUGGAGCAACGCCGCGUGAGUGAAGAAGGUUUUCGGAUCGUAAAACUCUGUUGUUGGAGAAGAAUGUAUCUGAUAGUAACUGAUCAGGUAGUGACGGUAUCCAACCAGAAAGCCACGGCUAACUACGUG
RNAcentral lists this ribosomal RNA (519 nucleotides) under uncultured bacterium. RNAcentral describes it as "partial 16S ribosomal RNA". It matches the Rfam family "Bacterial small subunit ribosomal RNA", at positions 29 to 507 of the family's 1533-position model. The record is from RNAcentral.